RNAcentral lists this ribosomal RNA (384 nucleotides) under uncultured bacterium. Its description in RNAcentral is "bacterial SSU rRNA". It matches the Rfam family "Bacterial small subunit ribosomal RNA", at positions 29 to 414 of the family's 1533-position model. The record is from RNAcentral.
AUUGAACGCUGGCGGCAUGCCUUACACAUGCAAGUCGAACGGCAGCGCGGGAGCAAUCCUGGCGGCGAGUGGCGAACGGGUGAGUAAUAUAUCGGAACGUGCCCAGUAGUGGGGGAUAGCCCGGCGAAAGCCGGAUUAAUACCGCAUACGACCUGAGGGUGAAAGCGGGGGAUCGCAAGACCUCGCGCUAUUGGAGCGGCCGAUAUCAGAUUAGCUAGUUGGUGGGGUAAAGGCCUACCAAGGCAACGAUCUGUAGUUGGUCUGAGAGGACGACCAGCCACACUGGGACUGAGACACGGCCCAGACUCCUACGGGAGGCAGCAGUGGGGAAUUUUGGACAAUGGGCGCAAGCCUGAUCCAGCAAUGCCGCGUGCAGGAAGAAGG